CGGCAAUGGAGGAAACUCUGACCGAGCAACGCCGCGUGAACGAUGAAGUAUUUCGGUACGUAAAGUUCUUUUAUUAGGGAAGAAUAAAUGAUGGAAAAAUCAUUCUGACGGUACCUAAUGAAUAAGCCCCGGCUAACUAUGUGCCAGCAGCCGCGGUAAUACAUAGGGGGCAAGCGUUAUCCGGAAUUAUUGGGCGUAAAGGGUGCGUAGGCGGUUAAAUAAGUUUAUGGUCUAAGUGCAAUGCUCAACAUUGUGAUGCUAUAAAAACUGUUUAGCUAGAGUAAGAUAGAGGCAAGUGGAAUUCCAUGUGUAGUGGUAAAAUGCGUAAAUAUAUGGAGGAACACCAGUAGCGAAGGCGGCUUGCUGGGUCUUUACUGACGCUGAGGCACGAAAGCGUGGGGAGCAAACUGGAUUAGAUACCCUGGUAGUCCACGCCGUAAACGAUGAGUACUAAACGUUGGGUAAAACCAGUGUUGAAGUUAACACAUUAAGUACUCCGCCUGAGUAGUACGUACGCAAGUAUGAAACUUAAAGGAAUUGACGGGACUCCGCACAAGCGGUGGAUCAUGUUGUUUAAUUCGAAGGUACCCGAAAAACCUCACCAGGUCUUGACAUGCUUCUGCAAAGCUGUAGAAACACAGUGGAGGUUAUCAGUUGCACAGGUGGUGCAUGGUUGUCGUCAGCUCGUGUCGUGAGAUGUUGGGUUAAGUCCCGCAACGAGCGCAACCCUUAUUGUUAGUUACCAGCACGUAAUGGUGGGGACUUUAGCAAGACUGCCAGUGAUAAAUUGGAGGAAGGUGGGGACGACGUCAAAUCAUCAUGCCCCUUAUGACCUGGGCUACAAACGUGAUACAAUGGCUGUUACAAAGAGUAGCUGAA
This 879-nucleotide ribosomal RNA is filed under the name Chinese Huanglongbing disease-associated phytoplasma. RNAcentral's name for it is "bacterial SSU rRNA". It matches the Rfam family "Bacterial small subunit ribosomal RNA", at positions 366 to 1254 of the family's 1533-position model. Lineage: Bacteria; Bacillati; Mycoplasmatota; Mollicutes; Acholeplasmatales; Acholeplasmataceae. The record is from RNAcentral.